Molecule: ribosomal RNA, 20 nt
Filed under: uncultured Tulasnellaceae
Lineage: Eukaryota; Fungi; Basidiomycota; Agaricomycetes; Cantharellales; Tulasnellaceae
Description: partial 28S ribosomal RNA
Source: RNAcentral
CAUAUUAAUCAGCGGAGGAA